UCCACUACCAUAGACGUCCCUCCUCCAGCUCCCACAGAGUAGGAGUGUAUCUGGACUGGUCAGCCGGCACUCUGUCCUUCUAUAGAGCCUCCUCUGACACACUGACCCACCUGAUCACAUUCACCUCCACAUUCACUGAGCCCCUCUAUCCAGGGUUUGGGGUUGAUUAUGAAUCCUCAGUGUCCCUGAAAUAAUAACUGGACACACACACACACACACACACACACACACACACACACACACACACACACACACACACACACACACACACACACACACACACACACACUGGACACAGACACACACACACACACAAACUGGACACACGCACACACUGGACACAGACACACACACACACUGGACACAGACACACACACACACUGGACACACACACACACACACACAGGACACACACACACACACCAACACACUGGACACACACACACACACUGGACACACACACACACUGAACAUACACACAGGACACACACACACACACUGGAUAUACACACACUCAACACACACACACACACACUGGAAACAAAUUGGACACACACACACUGGACACAAAAUGCACACACACUCACAGACAUUCUGGACACACACACACACACACUGGACACAAACUGGACACACACAUAAACAUACACUCAACACACACACACACUGAACACACACACAAACACUGGGCACAUACUCACACACACACACACACACACACACUCUGGACAUACACACACACACUUGACACAGACACUGGACACACACACACAUUUUGGACACACACACUCACACACACACACACAGGACACACACACACACUGGACACACACACUGGACACACACACAUACACACACACACACACUGAACACACACACACUGAACACACACACACACUGAACACACACACACACACUGAACACACACACACACUGGGCACAUACUCACACACACUGGACACACACACACUCUGGACACACACACACACACUUGACACAGACACUGGACACACACACGCACUGGACAGGUCCCCCUCUCCAUGUAAUCUGAUUCAUUAUGAUAUAGGAUCAGGUCCCCCCUCUCCAUGUAAUCUGAUUCAUUAUGAUCUAGGAUCAGGUCCCCCCUCUCCAUGUAAUCUGAUUCAUUAUGAUCUAGGAUCAGGUCCCCCCUCUCCAUGUAAUCUGAUUCAUUAUGAUCUAGGAUCAGGUCCCCCCUCUCCAUGUAAUCUGAUUCAUUAUGAUCUAGGAUCAGGUCCCCCCUCUCCAUUUAAUCUGAUUCAUUAUGAUCUAGGAUCAGGUCCCUCCUCUCCAUGUAAUCUGAUUCAUUAUGGUCUAGGAUCAGGUCCCCCCUCUCCAUGUAAUCUGAUACACGUACAUACAUACAUACACACUGUAUAUAUACACGUACAUACAUACAUACACACUGUAUAUAUACACGUACAUACAUACAUACACACUGUAUAUAUAUACACGUACAUACACACUGUAUAUAUAUACACGUACAUACAUACAUACACACUGUAUAUAUAUACACGUACAUACAUACAUACACACUGUAUAUAUAUACACGUACAUACAUACAUACACACUGUAUAUAUAUACACAUACAUACAUACACACUGUAUAUAUAUACACAUACAUACAUACACACUGUAUAUAUAUACACAUACAUACAUACAUACACACUGUAUAUAUAUAUACACGUACAUACAUACAUACACACUGUAUAUAUAUACAUACACGUACAUACAUACAUACACACUGUAUAUAUAUACAUACACGUACAUACAUACAUACACGUACAUACAUACAUACACACUGUAUAUAUAUACAUACACGUACAUACAUACAUACACACUGUAUAUAUAUACAUACACGUACAUACAUACAUACAUACACACUGUAUAUAUAUACAUACGUGUACAUACAUACAUACAUACACACUGUAUAUAUAUACAUACAUACAUACACACUGUAUAUAUAUACAGAAAUCCACUGUUUAUUUGAGGUAAAAAGGGAUGACCAGAGAGUACCCAUGAAGUUGUACAACAUUUGACAAGACAGUCAAGACCUAAGCAGUGUGCCAGAUGACCUUUGGCCUCCAAUAUAGGCCCCUUUCUGUGUUUGCUAAAAUUGCAGCGAUGCACACGCAAUUUGGUUGUAGAAACUCCUCCAUUCUAAUGAGGAAACCACUAGUUAUGGAUGUAGUAUAUCUGCUAAUGAGGAAACCACUAGUUAUGGAUGUAGUAUAUCUGCUAAUGAGGAAACCACUAGUUAUGGAUGUAGUAUAUCUGCUAAUGAGGAAACCACUAGUUAUGGAUGUAGUAUAUUUGGUAAUGAGGAAACCACUAGUUAUGGAUGUAGUAUAUCUGGUAAUGAAGAAACCACUAGUUAUGGAUGUAGUAUAUCUGGUAAUGAGAAAACCACUAGUUAUGGAUGUAGUAUAUCUGGUCAUGAGGAAACCACUAGUUAUGGAUGUAGUAUAUCUGGUAAUGAGGAAACCACUAGUUAUGGAUGUAGGAUAUCUGGUAAUGAGGAAACCACUAGUUAUGGAUGUAGGAUAUCUGGUAAUGAGGAAACCACUAGUUAUGGAUGUAGUAUAUCUGCCUGGAGCAAAAAUGGUGAGCGAAGAUGAUCGUUUUUCACAAUGUAUUCUGAAUAUUACAGCGCACUAUCAGGACAAGAUCAGGAGUGCUACUCAAGUAAACUCACAUUAAGUUCUGUCUAUUCACUAAUUCAGCACUGUGGGGGAAAACUCAGGAGAGUUCUCAUAGGCUGACAGCAAAAAUAGCCUCCAUUUACAGGUUGCAUAUGAGUGCAUUUAACAUUACUUUUGGAUUAUAAUUGUAAAGCUCGUUUGAACCUCCUGCUUAAUAUGUUUGCGUUAUUGUCGCAAAUCAACUGCUUUACACUUAAAAAACACUUCAACCAGUAAAAUGCUCUUUGGCUAGCUUUAACAUCAGCCUGACAAUGAGGGUUUGUACACUAAGUGUUUAACAAAUUGGCCCAUAACUUCACCUAACAAUAACAUAGACCUACUGUAGGACCCAUAACUUUAUCUAACAACGACAUAGACGUAGGACUAUAAAUCAUUUAAUAUUUCAGGUGAAACAUGGACACUAAAAUGUCUGUCGUGACGUUUCAUAACCUGAUCACCAGAUAAUUUUGUGAAUAAUCCCACUAGGCUACUCUGUAAUGUGUUGUCAUUCUAAAUGUCCUGAAUAAAGGAAAAUAGCUCUGUGUGUUGAACAAUAGCCUAUCCAUCAAGGAACAGUUCUCUACACAUUAUGAGCAAAGUAGGGAUGUUGGAUCCAACGUGGAGUGUAUCUCUGUGCACAAACAGAGUAAUGAGACCCUACUGUAAAUCAGCCAGACAGUAACACAUUAUAAACAUCGAUUUGUUUGGGAUGUUGGAUCCAACGUGGAGCACGGCAUAACUGUCUUUACCAGAGUAAUGAAUGAAGAAGCACUUUGGUUGUUGUUGCAUGUCGUGAUGUUUGUCAUGUGACUGUCAUUCAGAAAAUGAUUUCGUGGAUCAGCUGAUGAUAGUUGAACAUGUGACUGUAAAUAAACAGCUACAGUAUUAAGAAUUAUGUGUAAUUAUUGAAGAACCACGUUAAUGACAGUAUCCAUUUGGGUGUUGUCA
RNAcentral lists this long non-coding RNA (3646 nucleotides) under Salmo salar (Atlantic salmon). Its description in RNAcentral is "lncRNA (ENSSSAG00000094313.1)". The record is from RNAcentral. Lineage: Eukaryota; Metazoa; Chordata; Actinopteri; Salmoniformes; Salmonidae.